GACAAGGGGUGCUCCCAGGGAAGGCUUUUCAAGUCCCCACCUUUUCACUCCACACCACUCAUGCCCUGGCAUAUUCCUCUGCUCACCCUCACAGUGUGAGUGCAUCUCCAUCCAUGUGGGCCAGGCCGGAGUGCAGAUGGGCAAUGCCUGCUGGGAGCUGUACUGCCUGGAGCACGACAUCCAGCCCAGUGGCACCAUGCCCAGCCACAAGGCCCUGGGGAGCAGUGAUAACUCCUUCAACACCUUCUUCAGGGAGACCCAGCCUGGCAGGCAUGUGUCCUGGGCUGUCUGUGGACCUGGAGCCUGCUGUCAUAGCACAAUGAAGUCGCUGUAGAGGGAAGGGACCACUGAAGGUGCCACCUGCUCUCCCCGUCUCAAGCCCAGGCAGGACCUGGCCUUAGAAGUGGGUCUCUGGUCGGGAGGCUGAGGCAGGAGAAUCGCUUGAACCCGGGAGACAGAGGCUGUGGUGAGCCAAGAUCGCGUGAUUGCACUCCAGCCUGGGCAACAAGAGUGAAACUCUGUCUCAAAAAAAAAAAAAGAAAGAAAAGAAAAAGAAGAUGCCGUGCAUCAUCACUCUGUUGAGCAGUUGUACCUGGGGAGGCUUAGCAGCAAAG
This 614-nucleotide long non-coding RNA is filed under the name Homo sapiens (human). Its description in RNAcentral is "non-protein coding lnc-RABIF-1:2". Lineage: Eukaryota; Metazoa; Chordata; Mammalia; Primates; Hominidae. The record is from RNAcentral.